Molecule: long non-coding RNA, 5168 nt
Organism: Mustela putorius furo (domestic ferret)
Lineage: Eukaryota; Metazoa; Chordata; Mammalia; Carnivora; Mustelidae
Source: Ensembl
UGCCAAGUAGAUUUUUACCACUCUGAUAUCCCCAACAUUAGCUGUAAGUGCCCGUAUUUAGACUGAUGGAUGAAUCGCUUAACAGAUGGAGCCUUACUACUCUCAGUGUUUAGGAAAGAGGUCAUUUGAUUCAAGUCUUACUUCCCUACUUGAAAACGAAGGCUUCUGCCCAGGAGACGCUAUUUCAGAAAUGCACUGAAGGUUAAUAUCUUUGCAUGUAUUACAAAUGCUAAUCAAAGUGGAAUGUUAAUAUAUUCUCCUAUUCAUUACAAAGAAAAUGGCAGAUAUGACUGCACAUUAAGGACUUUCUACGAACAGUUGCUUUUCCCCUGCUUAUUUCUUAGGUCCCUGAAAAUGCCAGUCACAGUUUCACUGGUGCUCAGGUAGCUGAAACGAGGCAGAAGAAAUGGGCUCUCCUCUGAGAAGCAACAUCAGGACAAGAGCUACCACUGUGCUUCCUGCUUUACAAUGGGGGCCCUGCUUCAUCACUCCGGGCCAUUCCAGAAACGGAAGCCUUCCGGGCUUCCAGAAGCUGUUAGCUGCAACCUGCCUGGGCCAGGCCCACAUUCUGCUCCCGAGGAUAAUUCCUACAUGCUUCUGCCUGUAUCCUCUCAUUCCACAGCUUCAGAGAGGAUCGUCUUCCACACGUGCACAAAGGAUCGACCUGGUUGAGCAAGUCAACAGAAGAUCAGAGAAUGGCAAAAUCUCGCCAGAAGUUCAUUCGAUAAAUGGCCCAUAAAGGUCCCAGAAAUAAUUUAUCAAAAUGGAGGUAGGUUCUAAUGGCUGGGAAUGUGGCUGCCUGAACAAUGGACAGAGGUUGGAAGAGACACAGCGGAUGUCUCUGUCUUUAGUGGGAACUGAAGGAAAGGUGGCCAUUUCCCCUGUGCAUGUGUUUGCCCCUUGCUCCCCACAGCUGCUGGCUCUACAGAAAAUGCUGGUGCAGGAGACGGCCAAAGAAAGGGCAGCACUUAUCUGCUUCAGAGAGAACUGAAAAGAUUGACGCAUUUUUUCUGGGGUCCCAAGCUUUUUUUUUUUCUUUUUGGCAUUACCCAUAAUGUAUCUGUCCAUGGGAUAAACAGAGACGCCUUCCCCCACAAUUAUAUUUGCUUAAAGGAAAACACAGCUGCCUUUCUUGCAUAUUAAGACGCAACUGGAACUAGAAAGACCAAACAAAGAUUUCAAAGGGAAGGAAAGUUUUUACAGCAUAAAAGACACUCCACCAUACCAAAGUGCAUUGAAACUAAAAAACCGAGGCAGUGUAAUGACUAUUCUCCUUGGGGACAAAAGUCCUAUUGAGCAAGAAGCUAUAGGUGCCAUUUUCCAGAAGAGCCACCUGCUACUACUUGGAGCUAUUGGUGAUAUUCAGGAGCCCGAAUUUCAGAGUCCUUCCAUCUAUGGGGUCUGUGUGGGAGAGUGUGCAUGCACGUGCACCCUGAGGCAAAACCAAUAGGUAAUUACUCGAUGCUGUCACUGUGGGAUAACUGAACCAUCAAGCCGACUACUUAAUGAUCCCCUCUUAGACGACCAGCAUCACACCACACGCUCCUGUUAAGAGGAAACCUUUGGAGAAACAUGCUAAUCCAAGCGAAAGCAAGGAAGAUACUGUAUUGCUAAGAGGGCCCACCCCAUCAGAAGAACAGAAUGGAGCAAGAAGAUAAUGAACCUAAUUAGUCAGUCAUUACUUGCUAUACUUACAACUGCUGCCACAGUGCUGUUCUAUGUGAUAGCGUUUUCAAGCAGCAACCCUUCCACAAAUCAAAGCAAGAGCCAAACCAGUUUCUUUUAUGCCCCGGUUUUAUGGAGAAGUAACUGACACACAUCACCCUGUGAGUUUAAGGCGUAUGGCAUGACGGUCUGAUUUACGUACGCUGUUAAGUGAUGGCCGUGAGAAUUUUGGCUGACAUCCACCUUCUCAUACAGAGACAGAGUGAGGAAAGAAGGAAAGAAGGAGCAAAAUAUUUUCUCCUUGUGAUGAGGACUCCUAGGAUCUACCCUCCGAACCACCGUAACCGUAAUCACACGGCAGUGUCCCGCUGUCGUCAUCCUGUUGUAUUUAUUUAUCUUGUAACUUGGAAGUUGGUACCUUCAGUCACCUUCCUCUAGUCUCCCCUUCCCCUACCCCUGCUAACCACAGGUCUCAUCUGUUCUUCUACAAAUGUGGGUGUUUGUUUGGAUUCCACAUAUAUGUGAGAUCAUUCAAUAUUUUGUCUUUCUCUGACUUAUCUCCCUCAGCACGAGGCUGAAAGGAUUCAUCCGUGUUGCCACAAAUGGUAGGAUUUCCUCUUUUUAUGGCUGAGUUAUAUAUAUUUAUAUGCACAUACACACAAAACACAACUUCUUUAUACAUUCAUCUAUCGGUGGACACUUGGGCUGCUUCCACGUUCUUUCCUUUGAAAUAUUCCCAGAAGUGGAAUUGCUGGAUCAUAUGGUGGUUCUGUUUUUAAUUUUUCAAGGAAUCUCCAUACUGUAGUGAAUGCACCAUUUUAUAAUCCCCCCAGAGUGCUAAGGGUUUCCUUCCCUCCACAUCCUCACCAGCCUUUGUAAUCUCUUAUUAUUGUGGCGAUGGCCAUUCUAACAGGCCUGACAUGAUACUUGGUUGUGGUUCCAACUGGUGUGUCCCUGAUGAGGCUGAGCCUUGUUUAUCUUCUUUGAAGAAAUGUCCAUUCAGGUCCUUUGCUCAUUUUUUAGUUGGGUUACUUGUUUUUUUUUUUUUUUUUGCUAUUCACUACGUGAGUUCUUUAUAUAGUUUGGAUAUUAAUCCCUGAUUAGAUGUAUCGUUCCAAUUUUUCCCCCAAUUCCAUGGACUGUCUUUUUCACUUUGUUGAUGGUUUCUUUUGCCGUGCACAAGCUUUUUAGUUUGAUGGAGGCCCACUUGGGUUUUUUAUUUUGUUGUUUGUUCUUUAGGUAUCUCUUUAAAAAGAUCAUUAUCAAAACCUCUGUCAAAGAGAUUUGUUCCUAUGUUUUCUUCUAGGAUUUUCAUACAUUAAGUCUUUCUAAUCAGUUCGAUUUAAUUUUUCCGAGUGGCAUAAGAUAUGGGUCCAGUUUCAUUCUUUAACAUGUGAAUAUUCCAUUAUACCAGCGCCAUUUAUUAAAGAGACUGUCCUUUCUUCACUUGGUAUUCUUGGCUCUCUUACCAAAUAUUAGAUGGCUAUACACAAUGUGGUUUAUUUCUGGGCUACCGAUUCUGUUCCACUGGUCUAUUUGUCUGUCUUCAUGCCAGUAUCAUCCUGCUUUGAUGCCAGAGAGUUUCUUAUACAGCCUGCCUGACAACAGAAGUUAACACUGAAACUUGGCUGUGAUUUAUCUUAGUAAAUGUGUCCAUGAUGAUGUGGCAAGACUGCUUCCCAUGACCGUGGGGGCUGGCUGUCUAAGCGUGCAAAGCAGCAGACCACUAGGGUCAAUGGGACUUGACCAUCAUUAAAUUCUAAUUGAGCCAGAAAAAGAAACAGCUCUCCUAGCCUUCUCUUAAAGCAUAUAGUUUUCUCCUCUAUGCCUUGGUUCCCCCAGUGCCUUGAUCAGAAAAUGUCUAUAAUCAAGUUUAAUACAGACUUGUAGAGCAGACAAUAGAGACCUCAGGGGAAAGCAAGUUGGCUUUCCUAAGGUAACUUCUUAUAUAUUUAAUUGGGUUCCUUGGCAGUUCCAAGUUUAACUAGAAAAUGUUAAUGUAAUAUUAACAUAUCAACAUAGCAAAGGUCAGUAAGUUUUUCGAACAUCUUCUUUAACAAAAAUUCAGAAAUCUGAACUGUACGAAUUUCCAAUUAAUGACAAAUUUUCAACUAACAAAUACUCCACUAUAUGUUCAAUAGUGGAGUAUUGCUAUCAUCUUAACUACCCUACUGAUACCGUCAAGAGGAAUGCUUACCUUCUCUCUGGCAUGUACUGGAGAAGAACAGCAAUUAGCUAGGGUCCAAAAAAAAUUAGCCCUGAAUUAACAGCCUGUAAUAACACCAACAACUAGACAAAGCAAACCAUUAAGCUGGACAGAGAGAUGUCACAUAACCCCAGUACUCUAAUUUGCUGAAGGAACUUAUUUCACCAGUAGUUACCAAGUGCAGUGCCUGUGCCAGGUGCUGGAGGAAAGCUAUGAACAGAAUAAAACACAAUUCCUGCCCUCAAGAAGGUUUCACUUUACUUCAACUGGGAAUGAGACUCACACACUGUAACUAGAUUAGACAACCUUGGCAAUGGACCCUUUAAACUCCCGAGAGUCUAUAAUUCUUAGCUUUUUACACAAGGGUUUCCUUUCAGGUCAAUUCAAGGUCCCUUCUCGAGUAGAAGGGCAGAAGUUGAAAAGCAGGAAAAAAUUUUAUAAGAGCUAAAAUCAACUUAGUAAAUAACAAUAUGGGUAUUAAUUGAACACCUGCUAUGAAGGUGGCUAAGACACUGCUCACACGCUAAGGGGUCUUACUUUCCAGGGGAGACAGGAGCUCGGGCAACUACGAUACAGACUGGAUUGUAAUGAGGGCUUGAGUUGCACAAACACAGGGGGAGCAAUUAAUUGUGCUCUUUUAUGGGAGGUGGGGUGGGCAGGAAGCGUCAAGAAGUCUUCAGAAACACUAACAUGUAAGACAGCUGUUGACAGAGGAGCUUCCCAGCAGGAGAUGGAGAAGGUGUGCUGUGCUCGGGGCAGUGUGGGCAAAGCAGCAGAAGCAGGAAGGCACAUUCUCUCUUUAAUGAAUAACCAACCCCAAGGUCCAUGAAAGACAGAAGGAUGAGGUUGAGGUCAUGUCAAAGGUUAUGUUUAUACCGUGUUUUAAUAUGGUAUAUUGGGUGUUUGGGGUGUUUGUCCCCACUUCCAUAUAAUGAUUUAUUAGAUACUGUCAAUUAAUUCAGCUUUAAAGCAGAAACUUAUCUCACCGUCGAUCCUAUGGAUCAGACUGAUGAAUGAGUAUCUUGAGACCGCAAGGAAAGCUGCUGAAAAACCAACUAUUAUCAGUGGCCACUACUGACCGCUGCAAAUCAGGAUGAUCGCAAUGCUGCAUGUCCAAAUAAAAUUUGGGUGCUGAGGCUGAUAGAAGGCUGUAGCCACCACCAUUAGCCCUUACUUUCAAACACUGUGUUCACAGAAGUAAGUGUCUUUGUUUUCUUGAGAAUUAGCAAAGAUUAUAUCAAUAAGCUUAAAACUACAAUUAUGUUUUUUUUUAAUAUCAUAUUAGCAUUUGGAAGAG